RNAcentral lists this ribosomal RNA (404 nucleotides) under Bacillota bacterium. RNAcentral's name for it is "Firmicutes bacterium partial 16S ribosomal RNA". It matches the Rfam family "Bacterial small subunit ribosomal RNA", at positions 355 to 776 of the family's 1533-position model. Lineage: Bacteria; Bacillati; Bacillota. The record is from RNAcentral.
UGGGGAAUCUUGGACAAUGGGCGCAAGCCUGAUCCAGCCAUGCCGCGUGAGUGAAGAAGGCCUUAGGGUUGUAAAGCUCUUUUACCAGGGACGAUAAUGACGGUACCUGGAGAAUAAGCCCCGGCAAACUUCGUGCCAGCAGCCGCGGUAAUACGAAGGGGGCUAGCGUUGUUCGGAAUUACUGGGCGUAAAGCGCACGUAGGCGGGUCGUUAAGUCAGGGGUGAAAUCCCGGAGCUCAACUCCGGAACUGCCUUUGAUACUGGCGACCUUGAGGCCGGAAGAGGUUAGUAGAAUUCCCAGUGUAGAGGUGAAAUUCGUAGAUAUUGGGAAGAACACCAGUGGCGAAGGCGGCUAACUGGUCCGGAUCUGACGCUGAGGUGCGAAAGCGUGGGGAGCAAACAGG